Molecule: ribosomal RNA, 423 nt
Filed under: uncultured bacterium
Lineage: Bacteria
Description: partial 16S ribosomal RNA
Rfam family: Bacterial small subunit ribosomal RNA
Source: RNAcentral
AAUUUUGGACAAUGGGGGAAACCCUGAUCCAGCCAUCCCGCGUGUAUGAUGAAGGCCUUCGGGUUGUAAAGCACCUUAAGUUGGGAGGAAGGGUUGUUGGCUAAUAUCCAGCAAUUUUGACGUUACCGACAGAAUAAGCACCGGCUAACUCUGUGCCAGCAGCCGCGGUAAUACAGAGGGUGCAAGCGUUAAUCGGAAUUACUGGGCGUAAAGCGCGCGUAGGUGGUUCAGUAAGAUGGGUGUGAAAUCCCCGGGCUUAACCUGGGAACUGCUUUCAAAACUGGCAAGCUAGAGUAUGGCAGAGGGUGGUGGAAUUUCCUGUGUAGCGGUGAAAUGCGUAGAUAUAGGAAGGAACACCAGUGGCGAAGGCGACCACCUGGGCUAAUACUGACACUGAGGUGCGAAAGCGUGGGGAGCAAACAG